AUGGGGUGACUGCGUACCUUUUGUAUAAUGGGUCAGCGACUUAUAUUCUGUAGCAAGGUUAACCGUAUAGGGGAGCCGUAGGGAAACCGAGUCUUAACUGGGCGAAUGAGUUGCAGGGUAUAGACCCGAAACCCGGUGAUCUAUCCAUGGGCAGGUUGAAGGUUGGGUAACACUAACUGGAGGACCGAACCGACUAAUGUUGAAAAAUUAGCGGAUGACUUGUGGAUGGGGGUGAAAGGCCAAUCAAACCGGGAGAUAGCUGGUUCUCCCCGAAAGCUAUUUAGGUAGCGCCUCGUGAACUCAUCUUCGGGGGUAGAGCACUGUUUCGACUAGGGGGUCAUCCCGACUUACCAACUCGAUGCAAACUGCGAAUACCGAAGAAUGUUAUCACGGGAGACACACGGCGGGUGCUAACGUCCGUCGUGAAGAGGGAAACAACCCAGACCGCCAGCUAAGGUCCCAAAGUCAUGGUUAAGUGGGAAACGAAGUGGGAAGGCUCAGACAGCCAGGAUGUUGGCUUAGAAGCAGCCAUCAUUUAAAGAAAGCGUAAUAGCUCACUGGUCGAGUCGGCCCGCGCGGAAGAUGUAACGGGGCUAAACCAUGCACCGAAGCUGCGGCAGCGACACAUAGUGUUGUUGGGUAGGGGAGCGUUCUGUAAGCCUGCGAAGGUGUACUGUGAGGUAUGCUGGAGGUAUCAGAAGUGCGAAUGCUGACAUAAGUAACGAUAAUGCGGGUGAAAAACCCGCACGCCGGAAGACCAAGGGUUCCUGUCCAACGUUAAUCGGGGCAGGGUGAGUCGACCCCUAAGGCGAGGCUGAAAAGCGUAGUCGAUGGGAAACGGGUUAAUAUUCCCGUACUGGUGGUAACUGCGAUGGGGGAACGGAGAAGGCUAGGUUGUCCGGGCGACGGUCGUCCCGGUUCAAGCAGGUAGGCAGAGUGAUUAGGCAAAUCCGGUCACUUAAUGCUGAGAUGUGAUGACGAACCACCAAGGUGGUGAAGCAAUUGAUGCCCCGCUUCCAGGAAAAGCCUCUAAGCUUCAGGUUACCAACAAUCGUACCCCAAACCGACACAGGUGGUCAGGUAGAGAAUACUCAGGCGCUUGAGAGAACUCGGGUGAAGGAACUAGGCAAAAUGGUGCCGUAACUUCGGGAGAAGGCACGCUGGCGGUAGGUAAAGUCCCUCGCGGACGGCGCUGAAGCCAGUCGAAGAUACCAGCUGGCUGCAACUGUUUAUUAAAAACACAGCACUGUGCAAACACGAAAGUGGACGUAUACGGUGUGACGCCUGCCCGGUGCUGGAAGGUUAAUUGAUGGGGUUAGCGCAAGCGAAGCUCCUGAUCGAAGCCCCAGUAAACGGCGGCCGUAACUAUAACGGUCCUAAGGUAGCGAAAUUCCUUGUCGGGUAAGUUCCGACCUGCACGAAUGGCGUAAUGAUGGCCAGGCUGUCUCCACCCGAGACUCAGUGAAAUUGAACUCGCUGUGAAGAUGCAGUGUACCCGCGGCAAGACGGAAAGACCCCGUGAACCUUUACUAUAGCUUGACACUGAACAUUGAGCCUUGAUGUGUAGGAUAGGUGGGAGGCUUUGAAGUGUGGACGCCAGUCUGCAUGGAGCCAACCUUGAAAUACCACCCUUUAACGUUUGAUGUUCUAACCUAGGCCCAUAAACUGGGUCGGGGACCGUGUCUGGUGGGUAGUUUGACUGGGGCGGUCUCCUCCUAAAGAGUAACGGAGGAGCACGAAGGUUGGCUAAGCAUGGUCGGACAUCAUGCGGUUAGUGCAAAGGCAUAAGCCAGCUUGACUGCGAGAGUGACGGCUCGAGCAGGUACGAAAGUAGGUCUUAGUGAUCCGGUGGUUCUGAAUGGAAGGGCCAUCGCUCAACGGAUAAAAGGUACUCCGGGGAUAACAGGCUGAUACCGCCCAAGAGUUCAUAUCGACGGCGGUGUUUGGCACCUCGAUGUCGGCUCAUCACAUCCUGGGGCUGAAGUAGGUCCCAAGGGUAUGGCUGUUCGCCAUUUAAAGUGGUACGCGAGCUGGGUUUAGAACGUCGUGAGACAGUUCGGUCCCUAUCUGCCGUGGGCGUUGGAAGAUUGAGAGGGGUUGCUCCUAGUACGAGAGGACCGGAGUGAACGCACCACUGGUGUUCGGGUUGUCAUGCCAAUGGCAUUGCCCGGUAGCUAAGUGCGGAAGAGAUAACCGCUGAAAGCAUCUAAGCGGGAAACUUGCCUCGAGAUGAGUCUUCCCUGUCGCUUUAAGCGACCUAAAGGAACGUUUAAGACUAAGACGUUGAUAGGCUGGGUGUGUAAGCGUAGCGAUACGUUGAGCUAACCAGUACUAAUGAACCGUGAGGCUUAACCUG
RNAcentral lists this ribosomal RNA (2356 nucleotides) under Proteus mirabilis. RNAcentral describes it as "partial 23S ribosomal RNA". It matches the Rfam family "Bacterial large subunit ribosomal RNA", at positions 588 to 2925 of the family's 2925-position model. The record is from RNAcentral. Lineage: Bacteria; Pseudomonadati; Pseudomonadota; Gammaproteobacteria; Enterobacterales; Morganellaceae.